UGGGGAAUUUUGGACAAUGGGCGAAAGCCUGAUCCAGCCAUGCCGCGUGCAGGAUGAAGGCCUUCGGGUUGUAAACUGCUUUUGUACGGAACGAAAAGACUCUGGUUAAUACCUGGGGGUCCAUGACGGUACCGUAAGAAUAAGCACCGGCUAACUACGUGCCAGCAGCCGCGGUAAUACGUAGGGUGCAAGCGUUAAUCGGAAUUACUGGGCGUAAAGCGUGCGCAGGCGGUUAUAUAAGACAGAUGUGAAAUCCCCGGGCUCAACCUGGGAACUGCAUUUGUGACUGUAUAGCUAGAGUACGGCAGAGGGGGGAUGGGAUUCCGCGUGUAGCAGUGAGAUGCGUAGAUAUGCGGAGGAACACCGAUGGCNAAGGCAAUCCCCUGGGCCUNUACUGACGCUCAUGCACGAAAAGGCGUGGGGAGCAAACAGGAAUUAGAUACCCCUGGUAGUCCACGCCCUAAACGAUGUCAACUGGUUGUUGGGUCUUCACUGACUCAGUAACGAAGCUAACGCGUGAAGUUGACCGCCUGGGGAGUACGGCCGCAAGGUUGAAACUCAAAUGAAUUGAC
RNAcentral lists this ribosomal RNA (572 nucleotides) under uncultured bacterium. RNAcentral's name for it is "partial 16S ribosomal RNA". It matches the Rfam family "Bacterial small subunit ribosomal RNA", at positions 355 to 914 of the family's 1533-position model. The record is from RNAcentral.